UACGUAGGGUGCAAGCGUUGUCCGGAAUUAUUGGGCGUAAAGAGCUCGUAGGCGGUUCGUCGCGUCGGCUGUGAAAACCUGAGGCUCAACCUCAGGCCUGCAGUCGAUACGGGCGGACUUGAGUACUGCAGGGGAGACUGGAAUUCCUGGUGUAGCGGUGAAAUGCGCAGAUAUCAGGAGGAACACCGGUGGCGAAGGCGGGUCUCUGGGCCGAUAUUGACGCUGAGGAGCGAAAGCGUGGGGAGCGAACAGG
RNAcentral lists this ribosomal RNA (253 nucleotides) under uncultured bacterium. Its description in RNAcentral is "partial 16S ribosomal RNA". It matches the Rfam family "Bacterial small subunit ribosomal RNA", at positions 524 to 776 of the family's 1533-position model. The record is from RNAcentral.